UGAUAUGGGGGCGGAAAGUCAAAAAGCGUACAUGCUUGCAUGUUAAGCUUUUUGACCUAACGGCCCUAACAAACAUGAGGAAUUAGCAAUUUACGUAGUAAAUUAGCGUUUUCCGAAUGUUUGUAGAAGUGCGAGAGUUUCGAAGAAACGGAGCACUUCGUAUAUCA
This 167-nucleotide small RNA is filed under the name Butyrivibrio hungatei. RNAcentral's name for it is "Clostridiales-1 RNA". It matches the Rfam family "Clostridiales-1 RNA". The record is from RNAcentral. Lineage: Bacteria; Bacillati; Bacillota; Clostridia; Lachnospirales; Lachnospiraceae.